RNAcentral lists this unclassified non-coding RNA (702 nucleotides) under Hevea brasiliensis (rubber tree). Lineage: Eukaryota; Viridiplantae; Streptophyta; Magnoliopsida; Malpighiales; Euphorbiaceae. The record is from RNAcentral.
ACCCCUUUUGAUUUGGGACCCCAUGCAGGCGCAUUAACAUCCAUUCCUUCAUCUAGUAAUCGUUUCACCUCUUUGAGAUCACCUUUUCGAGCACCGAUAUGAAGCAAUGUCCAACCGCGAUCAUCCCUAUCAACCCUUGACCUAAAACUCCGUCUUUUAGACAAAUUACGCGGCAACAAAAUUGAAACGGGUUCGAAACGCUCCUGGGGCAUACUUUUUUUUCUCUUCCUUCCAAUUUAUCAAUCACAGAUCAAAAACAAUCACCAACACGCAAUCUUUGAGGAAAAACUCAACAAUUAAAAACCCUAAAAUUUUGAGAAGGUUUAGAAGGUGACGAUGGAGAAAAAACCAAAAAUUUACAUGUUUUAUUUAUUGAAGAUGCGAAAUUAGCGAGAAGCACAGGAAUGAUUGGCAAUGCAAUAAGGAGCAAAUGGAUUCAAACCGGGUCCAAAAACACGGAGAUUUUGAAAGAUGACGACGGAAACGACAGGGGAGGAUGAAGAGAUUAUGAACAUAAUUUCUUAUUUUUCAAAAAAACAAACCCUAAUUUCGUCGAUGAUUAGAGUAUAUAAGGAACCGAUUACNNNCGAUUACACAAAACUUAAGUGAUUAGAGAAAUCCAGGUCUGAUAUGGAGAGAGUUUGAAGGAAACAUAAAGGACGAUACACCGGAAACCCUAAAAUCAGAGAAAGAGAAGGGUUC